RNAcentral lists this long non-coding RNA (1947 nucleotides) under Homo sapiens (human). RNAcentral describes it as "long intergenic non-protein coding RNA 1285". The record is from RNAcentral. Lineage: Eukaryota; Metazoa; Chordata; Mammalia; Primates; Hominidae.
CUCCACCGCCUGCUUGUUUCGCCAUGCCCGGGCCGGACGGUGGGGCUGCAGCGGCGAAAGCGACUGAAGUCCGGGAGCAGUCGCAUGAGCUUCCCGGUCACCAGGAGGCCCCGGGAACAGACACCUCACCCUGACAUUGUGGCAGGAACUUCUGGAUUGCUUUCCAAAGUGGCUGCACUGUUUUCUAUCCCCACUGGGCAGGAAAACAUCUAAGAAAGGAGGCUCCCCCCUUCCCUUGCAGGGUUACCAGCAAUUAAAAAGAAGUACUAGAGAGGCAAAUAUCGGCAGUAUACAUCUAAGCGCUGGUCGGAAAAGAAGGAACUCAGCCCAAGAACUUGCCCAAUCUGAUACUGGAGGUGCCACUCAAGAACCACUCCCUCCAAGAUGUUUUCCUGGAUUUCCUCAGCCUAAAGUAAUCCCUCUUUUUCCUGGCUAUACCAUCUGGAACAGAUGACUUCCAAGGACACCGUAGCAAAGAAAAAGAGAACUGGAAGCCCAUGUGCCUUAAUCGCUUCAUCCUAGAGGGCGCAGCAGUCUGGAAAUAGAAACAAUGGUGGUGGAUCAAUUCAAUUGAUCCAGAUUUGGAAGUUGCGUGGCAAGUGAGAAGGAUUUGGAUGGUAAUGAUGAAUGUGUUUCUCACAAACUUGGGGGCCCAUCUGGGAUCUCUGUGCCUGCGUGGAGUUGGACUCCAGCCAAGAGGGGAGAGGCGUCCCACCUGAUUUAAGUGGCCUGCUCUGUCUGGGAAUCCCGGCUCCCUGCAGAGGCCAUAGACAAACCUGAGACUGUUAUUCAGGAGGCAGUGGAGGUGACACAGGGAGAAAAGCAGGCACCGUGGCAACCAGGCAACCUCAUGUACGAGCCAAGGAGAAGAAGCAGCAGACACCAAUGCAGGAUUGGUCUUCCACUUCCAGUCUGGACAAGAUAGCAUAGACUCAUUUCUCCCUGCUUCUCCCAGAUGGAGUCUUGCUCUGUUGCCCAGGCUGGAGUGCAGUGGCACGAUGUUGGCUCACUGCAACUUCUGCCUCCCAGGUUCAAGCGAUUCUACCACCUCAGCCUCCCGAGUAGCUGAGACUACAGGGAAACUUGACUGAGAGGAAGAGAAAGCUAAAGAAGUAUCAAAUUCCUCUCUAAGACAUCUUCACUAGUCUUCCAGAACAUCUCCGCCUUGGGAAGCAGAACUCUGAGGUCCAGGAAGACCUUCCGACCAAUCCACUGAGACAUUGCUACGGCUGCCUCCUCUUCACUUUCUGGCCUCUUGAGCCAACAUCCAACAUGAUCUUCAUGAGAGGUUGCCGGUUACCUUUCUAAAAACGUAUUUGACCAGAUUUCUUCAUGAUAUUUCAAAAUGUAAAGGCAGAAAACAAGUUAAACUUUAAACAAAUUUAAAUUUAAACAAUCUAAAAGGGAAUUUAAGUAAGCGUAUGACUUUGUUGCAGAGGUUCUAGGCUUCCUUUUUUACAAAAGGAUGGGAAAUUUUAAAGCAACUGCUCUGACUAACCCAGAAAAAUCUUUCUUUGUUUAUCUCCUUUGUAUUUAGCCCCAAUAUCUGAGAAAAUUUUAAACAUAGUUUUUUUUUCUAGGAUUGGUGCCUAAGGGUCAUUCCCUUACGAAAACCCUAACUUUUUUUACACCUUUGUUGAAUGAAGGAGCUGGUGGAAGUUCAAAUUUGUGUGUUAACAUGUGACUUCAAUUAGAGUCUGAAGAUGGCCACUUGUUAGUAAUCUCACACUGCAUCAUUUUAAAAAAACACAGCAUUUUUGUUCUGGUGAAGAGAGAGGCACUGGAAUUCAUCCCCAUUGUCCACUCCCCACCCAGUGUAUUUUACAGAAAUUCUUAACAAGUUUAAUAGUGUGCUAUUAUAACAUAAUUGCAGCAUUACACCAGAAGCAUUAUCAACACUAAGUAUUCUCCAAUUUAGAAUGCAUGAAUAAAGUCUCUAAAACUCUU